This is a long non-coding RNA of Saccostrea cuccullata (small rock oyster), 507 nucleotides long. RefSeq lists it as uncharacterized. The record is from RefSeq and is a predicted model, not a curated record. Lineage: Eukaryota; Metazoa; Mollusca; Bivalvia; Ostreida; Ostreidae. The transcript has 3 exons.
AAAUCUUGUGAUGUAUAUUCGAAAUCUUGUGAUGUAUGUUCGAUAAUCUUGUGAUGUAUAUUCGAAAUCUUGUGAUGUAUGUUCGAUAAUCUUGUGAUGUAGAUUCGAAAUCUUGUGAUGUGUGUUCUACAAUUCAGUGAUGCGUGCAAUAAAAUUGCAUGACGCAACAGAAAAGUAAGGACAAUUUUCAUUGGUUAGAAAUAACGAAAGUAGCCGGAGUGGUCGUAAUGCACACACUGACACAACUUCGCAAGCAUGAAAUUGGCGAAUUCAACCUAAAGUCAAAAUUAUAGGUAAUAGAAAAAUUCAUGAUCGAUGUAACUUCCUCGAUGGUGUGUUGGCUGUUUGCCCAUGUGUAUUUCGGGGUAUAGGAGUAGCCUCCCCUUUUAAAGAUCCAAAAUGGUGAUUUUACAGUGCGGCAUGCAGUCUGGUUAUCAACGAAGAGUUUUGACACCUGUAAUACCCAUAUUUCCACCAUUCACCUCUGUAACCUUUGUUGAGUUCAUC